GACGAACGCUGGCGGCGUGCCUAAUACAUGCAAGUCGAACGAAACUUUCUUACACCGAAUGCUUGCAUUCACCGUAAGAAGUUGAGUGGCGGACGGGUGAGUAACACGUGGGUAACCUGCCUAAAAGAAGGGGAUAACACUUGGAAACAGGUGCUAAUACCGUAUAUCUCUAAGGAUCGCAUGAUUCUUAGAUGAAAGAUGGUUCUGCUAUCGCUUUUAGAUGGACCCGCGGCGUAUUAACUAGUUGGUGGGGUAACGGCCUACCAAGGUGAUGAUACGUAGCCGAACUGAGAGGUUGAUCGGCCACAUUGGGACUGAGACACGGCCCAAACUCCUACGGGAGGCAGCAGUAGGGAAUCUUCCACAAUGGACGCAAGUCUGAUGGAGCAACGCCGCGUGAGUGAAGAAGGUCUUCGGAUCGUAAAACUCUGUUGUUAGAGAAGAACACGAGUGAGAGUAACUGUUCAUUCGAUGACGGUAUCUAACCAGCAGGUCACGGCUAACUACGUGCCAGCAGCCGCGGUAAUACGUAGGUGGCAAGCGUUGUCCGGAUUUAUUGGGCGUAAAGGGAACGCAGGCGGUCUUUUAAGUCUGAUGUGAAAGCCUUCGGCUUAACCGGAGUAGUGCAUUGGAAACUGGAAGACUUGAGUGCAGAAGAGGAGAGUGGAACUCCAUGUGUAGCGGUGAAAUGCGUAGAUAUAUGGAAGAACACCAGUGGCGAAAGCGGCUCUCUGGUCUGUAAC
Molecule: ribosomal RNA, 743 nt
Filed under: uncultured Bacilli bacterium
Lineage: Bacteria; Bacillati; Bacillota; Bacilli
Description: bacterial SSU rRNA
Rfam family: Bacterial small subunit ribosomal RNA
Source: RNAcentral